AGGGGGGCAAACACAAACUACCUACAUUCAUCAUUUCCCUCAUUUGUCUUUUAUUUUCUUGCAUUUGUGAAUUAGUUCAAGAAUGCUAGAAAAGUGUCGAGUUGUGCACAUCCAUUUCUUGUUUCACAAUGUUUAAAAGUGACAGUAAUUCAUUUUGUAAACUAAAAAAAAAAAGGUUGGAAUAGAGAGCAUAAUAGGUACAACCUAACACAUUAUUAUGUUUAUUAACUUUGAGACCCAGAAAUAAAUUCUUUCCUUUUCUUUAUUCUUGCUCUUAAAAAUACAAAAAAAAAAAAAGUUUUGUUUUGUGUUAUUUUUGGUUUGUUUAUUGGGGGGGCUUUUUUUAAUUGUCAGGAUUAUGAUCUUGCUGUAUUUCUUCAAUACGUAUACAAGGUGAUGUGAAAAGAUGACAUGGGCAGAAUAGUAAGAACAAGUAGGC
RNAcentral lists this long non-coding RNA (439 nucleotides) under Homo sapiens (human). RNAcentral's name for it is "HSALNT0380597". The record is from RNAcentral. Lineage: Eukaryota; Metazoa; Chordata; Mammalia; Primates; Hominidae.